This 274-nucleotide ribosomal RNA is filed under the name Vibrio vulnificus. Its description in RNAcentral is "partial 23S ribosomal RNA". It matches the Rfam family "Bacterial large subunit ribosomal RNA", at positions 1 to 270 of the family's 2925-position model. The record is from RNAcentral. Lineage: Bacteria; Pseudomonadati; Pseudomonadota; Gammaproteobacteria; Vibrionales; Vibrionaceae.
GUUGUAUGGUUAAGUGACUAAGCGUACACGGUGGAUGCCUUGGCAGUCAGAGGCGAUGAAGGACGUAGUAACUUGCGAUAAGCGUAGAUGAGGCAGUAACAGCCACUUGAGUCUACGAUUUCCGAAUGGGGAAACCCACUGGCAUAAGCCAGUAUCAUUGAGUGAAUACAUAGCUCAAUGAAGCGAACCGGGAGAACUGAAACAUCUAAGUACCCCGAGGAAAAGAAAUCAACCGAGAUUCCGAAAGUAGCGGCGAGCGAAAUUGGAUUAGCCC